RNAcentral lists this ribosomal RNA (863 nucleotides) under Streptomyces albus. RNAcentral's name for it is "bacterial SSU rRNA". It matches the Rfam family "Bacterial small subunit ribosomal RNA", at positions 9 to 884 of the family's 1533-position model. Lineage: Bacteria; Bacillati; Actinomycetota; Actinomycetes; Kitasatosporales; Streptomycetaceae. The record is from RNAcentral.
GAGUUUGAUCCUGGCUCAGGACGAACGCUGGCGGCGUGCUUAACACAUGCAAGUCGAACGAUGAAGCCGCUUCGGUGGUGGAUUAGUGGCGAACGGGUGAGUAACACGUGGGCAAUCUGCCCUGCACUCUGGGACAAGCCCUGGAAACGGGGUCUAAUACCGGAUAUGACACGGGAUCGCAUGGUCUCCGUGUGGAAAGCUCCGGCGGUGCAGGAUGAGCCCGCGGCCUAUCAGCUUGUUGGUGGGGUGAUGGCCUACCAAGGCGACGACGGGUAGCCGGCCUGAGAGGGCGACCGGCCACACUGGGACUGAGACACGGCCCAGACUCCUACGGGAGGCAGCAGUGGGGAAUAUUGCACAAUGGGCGCAAGCCUGAUGCAGCGACGCCGCGUGAGGGAUGACGGCCUUCGGGUUGUAAACCUCUUUCAGCAGGGAAGAAGCGAGAGUGACGGUACCUGCAGAAGAAGCACCGGCUAACUACGUGCCAGCAGCCGCGGUAAUACGUAGGGUGCGAGCGUUGUCCGGAAUUAUUGGGCGUAAAGAGCUCGUAGGCGGCUUGUCGCGUCGGAUGUGAAAGCCCGGGGCUUAACCCCGGGUCUGCAUUCGAUACGGGCAGGCUAGAGUUCGGCAGGGGAGAUUGGAAUUCCUGGUGUAGCGGUGAAAUGCGCAGAUAUCAGGAGGAACACCGGUGGCGAAGGCGGAUCUCUGGGCCGAUACUGACGCUGAGGAGCGAAAGCGUGGGGAGCGAACAGGAUUAGAUACCCUGGUAGUCCACGCCGUAAACGUUGGGCACUAGGUGUGGGCGGCAUUCCACGUCGUCCGUGCCGCAGCUAACGCAUUAAGUGCCCCGCCUGGGGAGUACG